Molecule: ribosomal RNA, 520 nt
Filed under: uncultured Thauera sp.
Lineage: Bacteria; Pseudomonadati; Pseudomonadota; Betaproteobacteria; Rhodocyclales; Zoogloeaceae
Description: bacterial SSU rRNA
Rfam family: Bacterial small subunit ribosomal RNA
Source: RNAcentral
AGAGUUUGAUCAUGGCUCAGAUUGAACGCUGGCGGCAUGCUUUACACAUGCAAGUCGAACGGCAGCGCGGGCUUCGGCCUGGCGGCGAGUGGCGAACGGGUGAGUAAUGCAUCGGAACGUACCCAGUCGUGGGGGAUAACACAUCGAAAGAUGUGCUAAUACCGCAUACGUCCUGAGGGAGAAAGCGGGGGACCUUCGGGCCUCGCGCGAUUGGAGCGGCCGAUGUCAGAUUAGCUAGUAGGUGGGGUAAAGGCCCACCUAGGCGACGAUCUGUAGCGGGUCUGAGAGGAUGAUCCGCCACACUGGGACUGAGACACGGCCCAGACUCAUACGGGAGGCAGCAGUGGGGAAUUUUGGACAAUGGGGGCAACCCUGAUCCAGCCAUGCCGCGUGAGUGAAGAAGGCCUUCGGGUUGUAAAGCUCUUUCGGCCGGGAAGAAAUCGCGCUCUUUAAUAGAGGGUGUGGAUGACGGUACCGGACUAAGAAGCACCGGCUAACUACGUGCCAGCAGCCGCGGUAA